CAAGUCGAACGAUGAACCUCACUUGUGGGGGGAUUAGUGGCGAACGGGUGAGUAACACGUGAGUAACCUGCCCUUGACUCUGGGAUAAGCCUGGGAAACCGGGUCUAAUACUGGAUACGACCUUCUGGCGCAUGCCAUGUUGGUGGAAAGCUUUUGUGGUUUUGGAUGGACUCGCGGCCUAUCAGCUUGUUGGUGGGGUAAUGGCCUACCAAGGCGACGACGGGUAGCCGGCCUGAGAGGGUGACCGGCCACACUGGGACUGAGACACGGCCCAGACUCC
RNAcentral lists this ribosomal RNA (280 nucleotides) under unidentified marine bacterioplankton. Its description in RNAcentral is "partial 16S ribosomal RNA". It matches the Rfam family "Bacterial small subunit ribosomal RNA", at positions 58 to 339 of the family's 1533-position model. The record is from RNAcentral.